AUUAACAGGAUUAGAUACCCUGGUAGUCCACGCCCUAAACGAUGUCUACUAGUUGUCGGGUUUUAAUUAACUUGGUAACGCAGCUAACGCGUGAAGUAGACCGCCUGGGGAGUACGGUCGCAAGAUUAAAACUCAAAGGAAUUGACGGGGACCCGCACAAGCGGUGGAUGAUGUGGAUUAAUUCGAUGCAACGCGAAAAACCUUACCUGCCCUUGACAUGUACGGAAGGCCGAAGAGAUUUGGCUGUGCUCGAAAGAGAACCGUAACACAGGUGCUGCAUGGCUGUCGUCAGCUCGUGUCGUGAGAUGUUGGGUUAAGUCCCGCAACGAGCGCAACCCUUGUCAUUAGUUGCUACGAAAGGGCACUCUAAUGAGACUGCCGGUGACAAACCGGAGGAAGGUGGGGAUGACGUCAAGUCCUCAUGGCCCUUAUGGGUAGGGCUUCACACGUCAUACAAUGGUACAUACAGAGCGCCGCCAACCCGCGAGGGGGAGCUAAUCGCAGAAAGUGUAUCGUAGUCCGGAUUGUAGUCUGCAACUCGACUGCAUGAAGUUGGAAUCGCUAGUAAUCGCGGAUCAGCAUGUCGCGGUGAAUACGUUCCCGGGUCUUGUACACACCGCCCGUCACACCAUGGGAGCGGGUUUUACCAGAAGUAGGUAGCUUAACCGCAAGGAGGGCGCUUACCACGGUAGGAUUCGUGACUGGGGUGAAGUCGUAACAAGGUAACCGUA
RNAcentral lists this ribosomal RNA (731 nucleotides) under uncultured endophytic bacterium. Its description in RNAcentral is "bacterial SSU rRNA". It matches the Rfam family "Bacterial small subunit ribosomal RNA", at positions 768 to 1504 of the family's 1533-position model. The record is from RNAcentral.